AACAGAGCUCCUCUUCUGCUUCGAACAGUUAAAAAUUGAUUCCAAAUUUCUUUCUGAUUGUUUCUUUCUAGAGGAUUUUCUCGGAAGAGGAGCACUCAGAUUGGUCUGCGAAAGAUUACCCUGUUUACCGACUCGGGACCUCCUUCGAGGUGAAGACUCGCUAGUCCCAGAUGCAGAAGCAACUUCACCACCUAUUCUGCCAUUGCCAUCUACUAUCCUGAUCGACUCCACUGCGUUUUCAGGAUUACGAGCUCCAAUGACUCCAUUACCAAACUUCAACGGAAAACUCCUCACCAAAGAAGGGUCGGUAAUAGGGGCGUUGGCUUCUACACCAGAGGUAUUUUCCUCUAUAGGUGAUGUCCGACUGAAACUUUGACCUCUCGGAUCAGCAGCCACAUCAUCAUUCAUACCAGCCACAUCACUUUCACUUGAUGAACUCCCCACAUGGUUCUUUAGCAGUGUUUCAUUCUUGUCAGAAAGAUCAGUAUGCAGCUCAUCCUCAUGUACCAACCUCGAAUCUGGAUCGAUCGUCUCUUUGUCUACGAUGUAAUCAAGAUCACAUGAACGCAGGCCACCAUCACUAUUACUUAACAGUUCCGUGAUAGCCAACGAAGGAGAUACCACGAGAGGGAUAUUGCCAUCAAUAUCACUUGAAGACUUCACAUCAUUCUCUGUCUCACUGCAACCCAAACCCCCAGAAUCCAAUGCUGAAUCUGGAAAGGGACAACUCCGAAUGAGAGAAACAUCAUCACUCGAUGGUUCGUUAUUUCCUUCCUUGCCUUCACCAUCACUUCCAGCUUUAUCAUCCUCUAUAUCUUUUGCAGUUUCCAAAGACUCAACCUUUUCAGGUGCAUCGUUUAGAAAAACCGAUUCACCAUCUGUUUCCCUGACCCCUAAGGGCAAUACUGUGCCAUCUAGACUCCACUCUUCCUACUUCAUGAUCUUUACUAUCAUCACUUCCAGCACUCCUAUUUAUAAAGCUGUGUUUCUCUAACCCCUCGUGAGAUUCAUUUUUUCUCCCGCCUUUGGCAGACUUGGACUUGGAGUUCCCUUUUCUUGUUCCAUUACCUUUUGACUUAUUAGGAUGUUUACCUUUUUUGGCGUUGGGAAUUAGAUGUGAACCAUUUUCCAAAGGAGAUACUGAAGCAAGCAAUUCAUCUUGUUUUUCUAAUCCUCUGUUCGUGUUGACCAGGUCUUCUGCAGUGCUGGAAAAACCAUGAGGCAAAUCCUUUUGCACAGAGUUGAUAACUUCUGAAUCUGGUGAAGUUUCAGAGUCUAGGGGCCGGGUUCCAUUAGCCCUCUCGCCCUCUUCAACCACAAUACUAGAGGAAAGGUGUGUACCCUCAUCUAAAACAUCACCACCUAGCUUCCUACAUAACCCCCCAGCGUCUUGGUUCUUUUUCUCAUCCGUAAUAGAAACAGAUAACAGCCGACAUGAAAGUUUCUCCAAGGAAUUGUUUUUCUCUUUUAACUGCUCUCUAGUUUCCACAAUCUGGAGUUUAUCCUCGACAAUAUCUGCAGGCCCUGGAAACUCUAAACCUUUUCCGGCCUUAACAAUACCACCAGCAGGCAAAGAGUUGCCACUGACCUUAGAGACUGUAAUGUUCAAAGGAUUUUGGCCACCUGACUUACCAAAUUUAACUUUCAAACGAAGGCAAGAGCCACUUGAUGCUUGGGUAUUAUGCUCUCCAUUUUUAGGACUGUUCUGAGGUUGCUUUGUUUCGUGAUGCGGAGGUCUACCAUAAGGAAUAUUAUUGCUCUGUAAGAAGAUUUCAGCGGUCCUACAUGGCAAUCCCCACUGAGAUGAACGGUCUGGUUUUGAAACAGAGCUCCUCUUCUGCUUCGAACAGUUAAAAAUUGAUUCCAAAUUUCUUUCUGAUUGUUUCUUUCUAGAGGAUUUUCUCGGAAGAGGAGCACUCAGAUUGGUCUGCGAAAGAUUACCCUGUUUACCGACUCGGGACCUCCUUCGAGGUGAAGACUCGCUAGUCCCAGAUGCAGAAGCAACUUCACCACCUAUUCUGCCAUUGCCAUCUACUAUCCUGAUCGACUCCACUGCGUUUUCAGGAUUACGAGCUCCAAUGACUCCAUUACCA
Molecule: long non-coding RNA, 2093 nt
Filed under: Brassica napus (rape)
Lineage: Eukaryota; Viridiplantae; Streptophyta; Magnoliopsida; Brassicales; Brassicaceae
Description: long non-coding RNA (BNAP_LNC026840)
Source: RNAcentral